GUGAUGAGAGUACGGUCGUGUGAUAGAUGACCGGGAGACCGAUCGCUGA
RNAcentral lists this small nucleolar RNA (49 nucleotides) under Pyrobaculum oguniense TE7. Its description in RNAcentral is "POGsR30". Lineage: Archaea; Thermoproteati; Thermoproteota; Thermoprotei; Thermoproteales; Thermoproteaceae. The record is from RNAcentral.